This 440-nucleotide ribosomal RNA is filed under the name uncultured bacterium. RNAcentral's name for it is "partial 16S ribosomal RNA". It matches the Rfam family "Bacterial small subunit ribosomal RNA", at positions 338 to 795 of the family's 1533-position model. The record is from RNAcentral.
CCUACGGGAGGCAGCAGUAGGGAAUAUUGCUCAAUGGGGGAAACCCUGAAGCAGCAACGCCGCGUGGAGGAUGAAGGUUUUCGGAUUGUAAACUCCUUUUGUUAGAGAAGAUAAUGACUGUAUCUAACGAAUAAGCACCGGCUAACUCCGUUCCAGCAGCCGCGGUAAUACGGAGGGUGCAAGCGUUACUCGGAAUCACUGGGCGUAAAGGGCGCGUAGGCGGGAUAGCAAGUCAGAUGUGAAAUCCUAUGGCUUAACCAUAGAACUGCAUUUGAAACUGUUAUUCUAGAGUAUGGGAGAGGUAGGUGGAAUUCUUGGUGUAGGGGUAAAAUCCGUAGAGAUCAAGAGGAAUACUCAUUGCGAAGGCGACCUGCUAGAACAUAACUGACGCUGAUGCGCGAAAGCGUGGGGAGCAAACAGGAUUAGAUACCCCAGUAGUC